This 460-nucleotide ribosomal RNA is filed under the name uncultured bacterium. RNAcentral's name for it is "partial 16S ribosomal RNA". It matches the Rfam family "Bacterial small subunit ribosomal RNA", at positions 338 to 795 of the family's 1533-position model. The record is from RNAcentral.
CCUACGGGUGGCAGCAGUGAGGAAUAUUGGUCAAUGGGCGCUAGCCUGAACCAGCCAAGUAGCGUGAAGGAUGACUGCCCUAUGGGUUGUAAACUUCUUUUAUAUGGGAAUAAAGUGCAGUAUGUAUACUGCUUUGCAUGUACCUUAUGAAUAAGGAUCGGCCAACUCCGUGCCAGCAGCCGCGCUAAUACGGAGGGUCCGAGGGUUACCCGGAUUUAUUGGGUGUAACGGGAGCGUAGGUGGGUUGUUAAGUAAGUUGUGAAAGUUUGCGGCUAAACCGUGAAAUUGCAUUUGAUACUGGCAGCCUUGAGUACAGUAGAGGUCGGAGGAAUGCGUGGUGUAGCGGUGAAAUGCUUAGAUAUCACGAAGAACUCCGAUUGCGAAGGCAGCCUGCUGGACUGUAACUGACGCUGAUGCUCGAAAGUGUGGGUAUCAAACAGGAUUAGAUACCCGAGUAGUC